UCUGACCGUGCAAAGGUAGCGUAAUCACUUGUUCUUUAAAUGAGGACUAGUAUGAACGGCAUCACGAGGGUUAUGCUGUCUCCCCAUUCUAUUCAGUGAAACUGAUCUCUCCGUGAAGAAGCGGAGAUAAAAAUAUAAGACGAGAAGACCCCAUGGAGCUUUAAACUCAAAAUCAAUUGCUUUAAAUAAUUAACCUAAUAUUUAUGCAACUCUGAUUUCUAGUUUUCGGUUGGGGUGACCACGGAGUAUAGACAAACCUCCAUGAUGAAAGGAACUAAUAACCUAAAUCAAGAGCUACAGCUCUAAAUAUCAACAAACUGACUAAAUUGAUCCAAUUACUUGAUCAACGAACCAAGUUACCCUGGGGAUAACAGCGCAAUCCAUUUCAAGAGCUCAUAUCGACAAAUGGGUUUACGACCUCGAUGUUGGAUCAGGGUAUCCCAGUGGCGCAGCCGCUACUAACGGUUCGUUUGUUCAACGAUUAAAACCUUACGUGAUCUGAGUUACCGGGAGAG
This 515-nucleotide ribosomal RNA is filed under the name Microhyla orientalis. RNAcentral's name for it is "partial large subunit ribosomal RNA". It matches the Rfam family "Bacterial large subunit ribosomal RNA", at positions 1941 to 2629 of the family's 2925-position model. Lineage: Eukaryota; Metazoa; Chordata; Amphibia; Anura; Microhylidae. The record is from RNAcentral.